Molecule: long non-coding RNA, 1272 nt
Organism: Artibeus jamaicensis (Jamaican fruit-eating bat)
Lineage: Eukaryota; Metazoa; Chordata; Mammalia; Chiroptera; Phyllostomidae
Exons: 4
Source: RefSeq, a predicted model, not a curated record
AGAGGUGCCCUUUGCUGGAGUAUCCUCCAAACACUUUCUCUCCUUGAGGGACCCAUGGGGAGUGGCUGAGCUAGAGUUGGAUGCCCAGUGGACAAUUCAGGGAUUUAACACCUGAAUCAAAUUGAUUUGCACCAGAGACAAGUGAGGAGUCCAUGACAGAGGCCAGGUGUCAUCAUCUCCUCCAUUAUUUGAAAUAUUUAACAAAGACAACUAUAUAGAGAAUUCUGGAGGCUGAAGAACCUGAACAGUGCCACCCUCCCACCAGGACAACAGGAUGCGGAGGAAGGGACCUCACGUGGACAAGCAGAAUGCAGAGUGGAAAUGAAGACUUCAGAGGUGAUAGAAACUAAAAAGAAUGACUUCUACCCUAGGUGUUUAAAACAGUCUCAAGAGAACGAGGGGAGAAACAGGCAGACCACUUUGAAGGCCACGAAAAUCCUCCAGGGUUGUACUCAGAAUCACGUGGUACAGCGUCCACUCUCUCCCUCAGGAAGAUGGGUGAAGGACUUGCCUACAGACUCGGCCAGUCUCCUACCAGCUGCACCUCUACCCCCACAUGCAGGAGAAAGCUAAGACCCAAUACUAAGCCCUAACUCCUAUAUAUAAAAUUGCCUGAGUUAUGUUCCAUUUCUUACUAAUUUUUUAAAGAAAGUGACAGAAAGCAUACAUCUGCAGCUUUCAAGGCAAAGACAAAAGAAGAUUUACAUUCCUGCUUGAUACCAUAGGGUGUAAUAAAAUCCAAGAAUAUUUCAGACUUCUGUUGUUGGUAUUUACAGAAAUUUUAUAUUUCUCAGUUUUGUGGUCUGUCAUAUAGAAACAGAACAAAGUAAAGAGUAAGAUUUCUGCUGGAGGAAUGAAAAUACAGCAGAAAUUGUUUCUUCUGUAUGGUAAAUGUUAUCUGUGUAAUUAAAACUUCUUUCAUGUAAAUUAUGAAGACAAAAGAUCAGUUAUUUUGCCAUGGGGGAUUCAGAAUGAAUCUAUCCUUCUACACCCAAAAUUAUUAACCCUUCCACUUAGCAUACUACCUGACCCUAAUACAGAAUUAUCUAGAAAUUUUGCAAUUCUGUAGGUUGUGUUUUUUAAAGAUUCUGAAACCUCAGUUCUCUAUCUUGAGAUGGUUUUAAUGAGCCCUUUAAUUAGAAGCAGGAAAAUGAUCUUAAUAUUAGACUCUAAAAUAAUUAUUAAAUUCCCUUCCAAUGUGUAAAUUGUAUGGCUUUCUGCUUUGUUUUAAAAUAAAAUGUAGCUGAUUAUCACAGCUAAAUUUUAUUAGAA